GGUAGUCCACACCGUAAACGAUGUCGACUUGGAGGUUGUGCCCUUGAGGCGUGGCUUCCGGAGCUAACGCGUUAAGUCGACCGCCUGGGGAGUACGGCCGCAAGGUUAAAACUCAAAUGAAUUGACGGGGGCCCGCACAAGCGGUGGAGCAUGUGGUUUAAUUCGAUGCAACGCGAAGAACCUUACCUACUCUUGACAUCCAGAGAACUUAGCAGAGAUGCUUUGGUGCCUUCGGGAACUCUGAGACAGGUGCUGCAUGGCUGUCGUCAGCUCGUGUUGUGAAAUGUUGGGUUAAGUCCCGCAACGAGCGCAACCCUUAUCCUUUGUUGCCAGCGGUUAGGCCGGGAACUCAAAGGAGACUGCCAGUGAUAAACUGGAGGAAGGUGGGGAUGACGUCAAGUCAUCAUGGCCCUUACGAGUAGGGCUACACACGUGCUACAAUGGCGCAUACAAAGAGAAGCGACCUCGCGAGAGCAAGCGGACCUCAUAAAGUGCGUCGUAGUCCGGAUUGGAGUCUGCAACUCGACUCCAUGAAGUCGGAAUCGCUAGUAAUCGUAGAUCAGAAUGCUACGGUGAAUACGUUCCCGGGCCUUGUACACACCGCCCGUCACACCAUGGGAGUGGGUUGCAAAAGAAGUAGGUAGCUUAACCUUCGGGAGGGCGCUUACCACUUUGUGAUUCAUGACUGGGGUGAAGUCGUAACAAGGUAACCGUAGGGGAACCUGC
This 726-nucleotide ribosomal RNA is filed under the name uncultured bacterium. RNAcentral describes it as "bacterial SSU rRNA". It matches the Rfam family "Bacterial small subunit ribosomal RNA", at positions 789 to 1515 of the family's 1533-position model. The record is from RNAcentral.